Molecule: ribosomal RNA, 497 nt
Filed under: uncultured bacterium
Lineage: Bacteria
Description: partial 16S ribosomal RNA
Rfam family: Bacterial small subunit ribosomal RNA
Source: RNAcentral
GAUGAACGCUGGCGGCGUGCCUAAUACAUGCAAGUCGAGCGAACGGACGAGAAUCUUGCUUCUCUGAUGUUAGCGGCGGACGGGUGAGUAACACGUGGAUAACCUACCUAUAAGACUGGGAUAACUUCGGGAAACCGGAGCUAAUACCGGAUAAUAUUUUGAACCGCAUGGUUCAAAAGUAAAAUACGGUCUUGCUGUCACUUAUAGAUGGAUCCGCGCUGCAUUAGCUAGUUGGUAAGGUAACGGCUUACCAAGGCAACGAUGCAUAGCCGACCUGAGAGGGUGAUCGGCCACACUGGAACUGAGACACGGUCCAGACUCCUACGGGAGGCAGCAGUAGGGAAUCUUCCGCAAUGGGCGAAAGCCUGACGGAGCAACGCCGCGUGAGUGAUGAAGGUCUUCGGAUCGUAAAACUCUGUUAUUAGGGAAGAACAUAUGUGUAAGUAACUGUGCACAUCUUGACGGUACCUAAUCAGAAAGCCACGGCUAACUACGUG